AACUAACGCUGGCGGCGCGUCUUAAACAUGCAAGUCGAACGGAUGUAGCAAUACAUUAGUGGCGAACGGGUGAGUAACACGUAGGUAAUCUACCUCUGAGUCUGGAACAACCUGAUGAAAAUCAGGCUAAUACUGGAUAGUAUUAAUUUGGCGAAUGUCGGAUUAAUUAAAGCAUUUAUGCGCUGAGAGAUGAGCCUGCGGCUGAUUAGCUAGUUGGUAGGGUAAUGGCUUACCAAGGCGACGAUCAGUAGUUGGUCUGAGAGGACGGCCAGCCACACUGGGACUGAGACACGGCCCAGACUCCUACGGGAGGCAGCAGUGGGGAAUUUUGGACAAUGGGCGCAAGCCUGAUCCAGCAAUGCCGCGUGAGUGAAGAA
This 377-nucleotide ribosomal RNA is filed under the name uncultured bacterium. RNAcentral describes it as "partial 16S ribosomal RNA". It matches the Rfam family "Bacterial small subunit ribosomal RNA", at positions 29 to 412 of the family's 1533-position model. The record is from RNAcentral.